GACGAACGCUGGCGGCGUGCUUAACACAUGCCAGUCGAACGGAAAGGCCCUGCUCUUGCGGGGUGCUUGAGUGGCGAACGGGUGAGUAACACGUGAGUAACCUGCCCUUGACUUUGGGAUAACUUCAGGAAACUGGGGCUAAUACCGGAUAGGAGCUUCUGCUGCACGGUGGGGGUUGGAAAGUUUCGGUGGUUGGGGAUGGUCUCGCGGCUUAUCCGCUUGUUGGUGGGGUAGUGGCUUACCAAGGCUUUGACGGGUAGCCGGCCUGAGAGGGUGACCGGCCACAUUGGGACUGAGAUACGGCCCAGACUCCUACGGGAGGCAGCAGUGGGGAAUAUUGCACAAUGGGCGGGAGCCUGAUGCAGCAACGCCGCGUGCGGGAUGACGGCCUUCGGGUUGUAAACCGCUUUCGCCUGUGACGAAGCGUGAGUGACGGUAAUGGGUAAGGAAGCACCGGCUAACUACGUG
RNAcentral lists this ribosomal RNA (468 nucleotides) under uncultured bacterium. Its description in RNAcentral is "partial 16S ribosomal RNA". It matches the Rfam family "Bacterial small subunit ribosomal RNA", at positions 28 to 507 of the family's 1533-position model. The record is from RNAcentral.